This 673-nucleotide ribosomal RNA is filed under the name uncultured archaeon. RNAcentral describes it as "bacterial SSU rRNA". It matches the Rfam family "Archaeal small subunit ribosomal RNA", at positions 202 to 875 of the family's 1478-position model. The record is from RNAcentral.
CCUAAGGAUGGGUCUGCGGCCUAUCAGGUAGUAGUGGGUGUAGCGUACCUACUAGCCUACGACGGGUACGGGUUGUGAGAGCAAGAGCCCGGAGAUGGAUUCUGAGACACGAAUCCAGGCCCUACGAGGUGCAGCAGGCGCGAAAACUUUACAAUGCUGGAAACAGCGAUAAGGGGACCUCGAGUGCCAGGUUACAAAUCUGGCUGUCGUGAUGCCUAAAAAGCAUUGCAUAGCAAGGGCCGGGCAAGACCGGUGCCAGCCGCCGCGGUAACACCGGCGGCUCGAGUGGUAACCGUUAUUAUUGGGUCUAAAGGGUCUGUAGCCGGCCGGAUAAGUCUCUUGGGAAAUCCAGCAGCUCAACUGUUGGGCUUUCAGGAGAUACUGUCUGGCUCGAGGCCGGGAGAGGUGAGAGGUACUUCAGGGGUAGGGGUGAAAUCUUGUAAUCCUUGAAGGACCACCAGUGGCGAAGGCGUCUCACCAGAACGGACCUGACGGCAAGGGACGAAAGCUAGGGGCACGAACCGGAUUAGAUACCCGGGUAGUCCUAGCCGUAAACGAUACUCGCUAGGUGUCGGCCACGGUGCGACCGUUGUCGGUGCCGUAGGGAAGCCGUGAAGCGAGCCACCUGGGAAGUACGGCCGCAAGGCUGAAACUUAAAGGAAUUGGCGGGGGA